RNAcentral lists this ribosomal RNA (272 nucleotides) under uncultured bacterium. RNAcentral describes it as "partial 16S ribosomal RNA". It matches the Rfam family "Bacterial small subunit ribosomal RNA", at positions 524 to 794 of the family's 1533-position model. The record is from RNAcentral.
UACGUAGGGUCCGAGCGUUGUCCGGAUUUAUUGGGCGUAAAGAGCUCGUAGGCGGCUCAGUUAGUCGGAUGUGAAAACUCGGGGCUCAACCCCGAGACGCCAUCCGAUACUGCUGUGGCUCGAGUCUGGUAGGGGAACACGGAAUUCCUGGUGUAGCGGUGAAAUGCGCAGAUAUCAGGAGGAACACCAAUGGCGAAGGCAGUGUUCUGGGCCAGUACUGACGCUGAGGAGCGAAAGCGUGGGUAGCAAACAGGAUUAGAUACCCCUGUAGU